RNAcentral lists this long non-coding RNA (255 nucleotides) under Setaria viridis. Its description in RNAcentral is "long non-coding RNA (SVIR_LNC007263)". The record is from RNAcentral. Lineage: Eukaryota; Viridiplantae; Streptophyta; Magnoliopsida; Poales; Poaceae.
UUGGAUACUACGUGCUAAACUUUAGCAGUGUCAUAUCGGAUGUUCGUAUGCUAAUUAGAAAGACUAAACAUGAGCUAAUUACAAAACUAAUUGCAUAGAUGGAGUCUAAUUCACGAGACGAAUCUAUUAAGCCUAAUUAAUCCAUCAUUAGCAAAUGGUUACUGUAGCACCACAUUGUCAAAUCAUGGACUAAUUAGGCUUAAUAGAUUCAUCUCACGAAUUAGACUCCAUCUGUGCAAUUAGUUUUGUAAUUAG